CAAUAGCGUAUAUUAAAGCUGUUGCGGUUAAAAAGCUCGUAGUUGGAUUUCUGUCAAGGACAACUGGUCCGCUCCUCGGGUGAGCACAUAGUUUGGUCUUGGCAUCUUGUUGGAAACUGUUGCUGCACUUGGUUGUGUGGCGCAGUGUCCAGCACUUUCACUUUGAGGAAAUUGGAGUGUUUCAAGCAGGCACAUGCCUUUGGACACAGUAGCAUGGAAUAAUUAGAUUGGGCUUUUGCUCCAACUUGUCGGUUUCUGGAGCUGAGGUGAGAAUUAAUGGGGAUUGUUGGGGGCAUCCGAAUUUAGCCGUCAGAGGUGAAAUUCUUGGAUCUGCUAAAGACGGACAACUGCGAAAGCGUUUGCCCAGGAUGUUUUCAUUGA
RNAcentral lists this ribosomal RNA (381 nucleotides) under uncultured eukaryote. RNAcentral's name for it is "partial 18S ribosomal RNA". It matches the Rfam family "Eukaryotic small subunit ribosomal RNA", at positions 592 to 976 of the family's 1831-position model. The record is from RNAcentral.